CGCGGGGUGGAGCAGUUGGCAGCUCGUCGGGCUCAUAACCCGAAGGUCACAGGUUCGAGUCCUGUCUCCGCAACCA
This 76-nucleotide transfer RNA is filed under the name Clostridium grantii DSM 8605. RNAcentral's name for it is "tRNA_Met_CAT". It matches the Rfam family "tRNA". Rfam says of the family: Transfer RNA (tRNA) molecules are approximately 80 nucleotides in length. Their secondary structure includes four short double-helical elements and three loops (D, anti-codon, and T loops). Further hydrogen bonds mediate the characteristic L-shaped molecular structure. tRNAs have two regions of fundamental functional importance: the anti-codon, which is responsible for specific mRNA codon recognition, and the 3' end, to which the tRNAs corresponding amino acid is attached (by aminoacyl-tRNA synthetases). tRNAs cope with the degeneracy of the genetic code in two manners: having more than one tRNA (with a specific anti-codon) for a particular amino acid; and 'wobble' base-pairing, i.e. permitting non-standard base-pairing at the 3rd anti-codon position. The record is from RNAcentral. Lineage: Bacteria; Bacillati; Bacillota; Clostridia; Eubacteriales; Clostridiaceae.